UCGCUACUUGCGUAGGCAGUCCACUUAGAGUGCCCAGCAUUACCUGAUGGCAACUAAGUGUAGGGGUUGCGCUCGUUGCAGGACUUAACCUAACACCUCACGGCACGAGCUGACGACAGCCAUGCAGCACCUGUACUAGACCCCUUGCGGGUAAACGACUUUCAUCGUCUAGAAUCUAGCCUUUCAAGCCCAGGUAAGGUUCUUCGCGUUGCAUCGAAUUAAACCACAUGCUCCACUGCUUGUGCGGGCCCCCGUCAAUUCCUUUGAGUUUCAACCUUGCGAUCGUACUUCCCAGGUGGAAUACUUAAUGCGUUUGCUUAGGCGCCGAAUCUUGCGACCCGACACCGAGUAUUCAUCGUUUAGGGCGUGGACUAC
RNAcentral lists this unclassified non-coding RNA (375 nucleotides) under uncultured Ignavibacteria bacterium. RNAcentral's name for it is "contains 16S-23S intergenic spacer region". The record is from RNAcentral. Lineage: Bacteria; Pseudomonadati; Ignavibacteriota; Ignavibacteria.